GACGAACGCUGGCGGCGUGCUUAACACAUGCAAGUCGAACGGAAAGGCCCUUCGGGGUACCCGAGUGGCGAACGGGUGAGUAACACGUGGGUGACCUGCCCUGCACUUUGGGAUAAGCCUGGGAAACUGGGUCUAAUACCGGAUAGGACUACGCGAUGCAUGUCGUGUGGUGGAAAGCUUUUGCGGUGUGGGAUGGGCCCGCGGCCUAUCAGCUUGUCGGUGAGGUUAUGGCUUACCAAGGCGACGACGGGUAGCCGGCCUGAGAGGGUGACCGGCCACACUGGGACUGAGAUACGGCCCAGACUCCUACGGGAGGCAGCAGUGGGGAAUAUUGCACAAUGGGCGCAAGCCUGAUGCAGCGACGCCGCGUGAGGGAUGACGGCCUUCGGGUUGUAAACCUCUUUCAGCAGGGACGAAGCGCAAGUGACGGUACCUGUAGAAGAAGGACCGGCCAACUACGUGCCAGCAGCAGCCGCCG
This 478-nucleotide ribosomal RNA is filed under the name uncultured bacterium. RNAcentral's name for it is "partial 16S ribosomal RNA". It matches the Rfam family "Bacterial small subunit ribosomal RNA", at positions 28 to 523 of the family's 1533-position model. The record is from RNAcentral.